Molecule: ribosomal RNA, 253 nt
Filed under: uncultured bacterium
Lineage: Bacteria
Description: partial 16S ribosomal RNA
Rfam family: Bacterial small subunit ribosomal RNA
Source: RNAcentral
UACAGAGGUCUCGAGCGUUGUUCGGAUUCAUUGGGCGUAAAGGGUGCGUAGGUGGCGCUGUAAGUCGGGUGUGAAAUCCUGAGGCUUAACCUCGGAACUGCAUUCGAUACUGCGGCGCUUGAGGACUGGAGAGGAGACUGGAAUUCAUGGUGUAGCAGUGAAAUGCGUAGAUAUCGUGAGGAAGACCAGUGGCGAAGGCGGGUCUCUGGACAGUUCCUGACGCUGAGGCGCGAAGGCCAGGGGAGCAAACGGG